Molecule: long non-coding RNA, 2466 nt
Organism: Ochotona curzoniae (black-lipped pika)
Lineage: Eukaryota; Metazoa; Chordata; Mammalia; Lagomorpha; Ochotonidae
Exons: 2
Source: RefSeq, a predicted model, not a curated record
AAGAAUAUGCGUCGUGACAUGGCAUACAUGCGACACGUAUCACGGCUACUCCUGACUCCCUGUGCGAUCCGGCUCUUGCUGCUGUACCAGUGGCAGCAGCUGGCCGCUCUCUGUGCCAGGCCUGUGCACCUGCGUUUCCUCUUUGCACCUCAUGGCACCUAUCUAUGACACAUUAUUGUUCUUCGCUCCUACAUUACCGAGGAGUCUGACAUGACUGACUUUCCCAUGGCCACACAACUCAAGAGUGGCUGUUCCAGGAUCAAACCUGGGUGGCCUGAAGCCAGAGCCCAGUUCUCAGCCAACUCCCUGUCCUCUGUCCUUCAAACCAGGGUACCUGCCAACUGUCAUAAAAAGGAAGGCCUUAUGCUUUGCAGGCCACUAUCUGUUGUCUUUUAUUCUUUAUUUCAAAAACUCCUUAAAAGUAGAAAAUUCUCAUCUCAAGGAUCAGCCAUCCAGGUUUGGUUGGUCCACAGUGUCCUCUGUGAGCAUCUGAGGUCGCCUUUCAGAGCCUCGAGUCUACCUUGUGGCAUUGGAGCUGAGUGGUGGCUGCCCCUUGGAGUUCACAGUCAAUAGAGCUCUCACCUCCAGGUAUACAAUGACUGGCCUGUUUCUUUUUGUUGUGACCUGAGUGUAUUACAAAGCAAGAGAAGAGUGUGUGAACAUUAGCCACAGGAAAGGCUGGCCCGAGAUGUCUUGGUGUCUUCUAUUCAGGCUCCGUGGAAGAGCAGAAAGAAUUGGUGGCUCACUUCCAGCUGGACACUGAGGGACUUGUUACAGACCCACUCCAGGAAGGUCAAGAGAGAAACCUGGGCCCGGGGCCGGGGGACUCCACAUGCGGCCGCAGUGACGUUGUCAAGUGCGCAUCUGCCAGUGGCUAGGACUUGGCUUGUUCAGAGCUUCUGGGCAGGAAGGCUUGGCGAGCCUGUGUUUGUGAGUGGGGAGGGAUUUCUGGCCCUGCCUGUUCCUUUACCAGUUUAGAGACAGUAAGCAUACAUCCCACCGGGUGGUUCACCUGGCCCUGCCGGAUCCCAUCCCCAAGCUCCUUCCCCUUCUUCCUGGCUGUGCCUGCUUCUCUCGGCCCAGCUAGGGCCUCUGGGCCCUCCCAGUACGCCACCCCACCCAGAAGCCUCUAGACAAUCCCCAUUGAAACUGCCCCCCCUAACUUUGCCCUCCCUACAGCAUUCUCACCAUCUGUGCUGCCUACACUGAUCGAGAUAGUAGAUGCUACUUCUGUUUGCUCUUUGCUCAGCGUUGCCCCCCCUCCGGGUUCCCCUGGGCCUCCACUUGUAGGCGUUUCGUGUCUGCUUUGUGGUGGUUUGUGGAGGAAGAGGCUCGGUGGAGGGCAGGUGCUUCCCUUGCAGCGUAGGCAAGAACAGGGUGGUGCUUACUGAUUGUCAGUUUUCUGAGAAGACAGGUCAUCCCUCUUCAGCCCGACUUGCCACUAAGCCCCAUGCUCUUGACAUUGGCCCCUUUUCCUCCUGUUAUCAUAUGUUGCUGUACAUGUGUGUCGCUGUCAUGGACAUCAAGGUCACAAGCAUCUAUGGCCUCCCUCUGGUCUGGCCCAGCAACUUCCCCCAUCCCUGUCCCCCAAGGCUGAGCAGCCCAGGGGUAACACUCAGCUCUUGUCCACGGCUCAGCCAUGCGCCCAGCACGUUGUCCUGGCACUCUGGGGCUGGGGGUGCCCAGGAGAGAGCUGACACAGGAAGGAGUCAGAAUGACAGAAAUGAAGCAAACAGCAGUGAUUUCAGUUGGUGCUAAACUCCCAAAAGAAAAUAACCAGGAUACUCUGAUGGAGGUGCGGGGUGCAAAGAGCCACUGCAGACCUAAAAGGGGUUCCAGGCAGCAGGCAUGGCAGAUGCAAGGGCCCUGUGGUCGGAAUGAGAUCAGCACGGCAAAGAGCCUGAGAAGAGGCCACAGUGUGGUUGCAGCAGAGUAACGGAGCACAACAGGGCCAGGGGUCAGAGGCGAGGUCUGGCAUUCUGAGUGAGAACUGGGAAGUGCAUUCCAACUUCACAGAGGAAGCUGUUGGUCCACCUGAUGCGAGAUCUGCACUCUCAGAGGACCCUUGGGGUUGCAGACAGCAAAGGGCCGAAGCAGGAGCCAGCCCAGAGAUGGACUGGAGGGGCGGUGGUUUCCUUUGCUGCCAGGGACCAUAGCAGCUCCUCUAUGCAGUGCUACUAGAGGCCCGCUGGCUCUGUCCUUCGGAAAAGUCCAACCUCUGGCCUUAGAGAGUGUCAGGCUGGGAGCGGACGGGAAGAGGGGAAAGUAGAAAAAGCUGUGAACUCUGCAGGUCUGUCUGAUUGGGAGACGGUGUCCGCUUCUGGCGACAUUCUGAUUGCCACGGGGACAAGGGUGCCUGGUCCCUUUUCUCACUAUCUACUACAUUGUGUGACAGUUAGUUUAAAAAUCUAUCAUAUAACCACUACUUGUUCCCUUGCCUAAUUGUUUUUAAUCCACUGUACAUUU